This 440-nucleotide ribosomal RNA is filed under the name uncultured bacterium. RNAcentral's name for it is "partial 16S ribosomal RNA". It matches the Rfam family "Bacterial small subunit ribosomal RNA", at positions 338 to 795 of the family's 1533-position model. The record is from RNAcentral.
CCUACGGGAGGCAGCAGUGGGGAAUAUUGCACAAUGGGGGAAACCCUGAUGCAGCGACGCCGCGUGAAGGAAGAAGUAUUUCGGUAUGUAAACUUCUAUCAGCAGGGAAGAAAAUGACGGUACCUGACUAAGAAGCCCCGGCUAACUACGUGCCAGCAGCCGCGGUAAUACGUAGGGGGCAAGCGUUACCCGGAUUUACUGGGUGUAAAGGGAGCGUAGGCGGUGCAGCAAGUCAGAAGUGAAAGCCCGGGGCUCAACUCCGGGACUGCUUUUGAAACUGUUGAACUAGAUUGCAGGAGAGGUAAGUGGAAUUCCUAGUGUAGCGGUGAAAUGCGUAGAUAUUAGGAGGAACACCGGUGGCGAAGGCGGCUUGCUGGACGGUAACUGACGUUGAGGCUCGAAAGCGUGGGGAGCAAACAGGAUUAGAUACCCUUGUAGUC